Molecule: ribosomal RNA, 478 nt
Filed under: uncultured bacterium
Lineage: Bacteria
Description: bacterial SSU rRNA
Rfam family: Bacterial small subunit ribosomal RNA
Source: RNAcentral
GACGAACGCUGGCGGCGUGCUUAACACAUGCAAGUCGAACGAGAAUCAUAGGAAGGAGAUUUCGGUCAACGGACUAUGAGGACAGUGGCGGACGGGUGAGUAACGCGUGAGGAACCUGCCUUUCAGAGGGGGACAACAGUUGGAAACGACUGCUAAUACCGCAUAACGCAUAGGAGCCGCAUGACUCCUAUGCCAAAGAUUUAUCGCUGAAAGAUGGCCUCGCGUCUGAUUAGCUGGUUGGUGAGGUAACGGCCCACCAAGGCGACGAUCAGUAGCCGGACUGAGAGGUUGAACGGCCACAUUGGGACUGAGAUACGGCCCAGACUCCUACGGGAGGCAGCAGUGGGGAAUAUUGGGCAAUGGGCGCAAGCCUGACCCAGCAACGCCGCGUGAAGGAAGAAGGCUUUCGGGUGUAAACUCUUUUAAGGGGGAAGAGCAGAAGACGGUACCCCUUGAAUAAGCCACGGCUAACUACGUG